CCACGUGAAGAGCACUUGGUGGGGAGUCACUUUGACCAUGGGUUGCAUUGCAGAGCACAAGGGGGCUGGAAGGCACCCCUAGACAGCCCAGCCACCAUGCUGUCACACCCUGGCCACCCACCUGAUGCUUGUCUCUGGAAGUCAACCUCCCCCCUCCACCUCCAGAUGGGAACUUCUCUCCUGUGACUAAUGUCACUGUUCCGAAGAAAGUAGCCACAGCGAGCAGGCGGCUCACUCACAGAGCAAGUCUUACAUGCCAGGCACCAGGGCAAGAACCUCACCAUGACUUCAUUUGUUACAAGCCCACCAGAUUUUAUUCAUUCAUGAGAGACACAAGGAGAGAGGGAGAGGCAGAGACACAGGCAGAGGGAGAAGCAGGCUCCAUGCACCGGGAGCCCGACGUGGGACUCCAUCCCGGGUCUCCAGGAUCAUGCCCUGGGCUCAAAGUGGCGCUAAAUCGCUGAGCCACCAGGGCUGCCGGAAAAGAACGUUUUUAUUUAAGUAAUUCCUACACCCAAUUUACAACCCCAAGAUCAAGAGUUGUAUGCUCUACAGACUGAGCCAGCCAGGCUCCCCUAGGAUAGAGUCUUUGACUCUGUAUGCCCUGUUUAUUUAACCAGUCCUUUACUGAUGGAUGGUAAUGACGUUUCCUAUUUGUUACUAUUACAUUGCAGCUAUGAUAAUCUAAGUACCUGUAACUGUCUGCAACUUAUGCCAGAAGAGAUUCCUGAAACUGUAACUACUGAGUCAGAGUAUUUUUUUUUAAUUUUUUUUAAUUUUUUAUUUAUUUAUGAUAGGCACACAGUGAGAGAGAGAGAGGCAGAGACACAGGCAGAGGGAGAAGCAGGCUCCAUGCACCGGGAGCCCGACAUGGGAUUCGAUCCCGGGUCUCCAGGAUCGCGCCCUGGGCCAAAGGCAGGCGCCAAACCACUGCGCCACCCAGGGAUCCCGAGUCAGAGUAUUUUUAAUUUUGACACAUACUACCAAGUUAUUCCUGAAAGGUUACAAAGUUGUACACCUUCCUACCCAUAGCACAGAUUGCC
This is a long non-coding RNA of Nyctereutes procyonoides (raccoon dog), 1043 nucleotides long. RefSeq lists it as uncharacterized. The transcript is spliced from 3 exons. Lineage: Eukaryota; Metazoa; Chordata; Mammalia; Carnivora; Canidae. The record is from RefSeq and is a predicted model, not a curated record.